AACGCACAUUGCGCCCCCCGGCACUCCGGGGGGCAUGCCUGUCCGAGCGUCACGAGGACCCUCCCUCAGGCCUACCGCCUGGUGCUGGACCAGGCCGCCGGCCCCUCCCCGGGGACGCGGCCAGCCCUAAAUCUAGUGGCCGCCCCCCCGCGGCGUCGAGCGUCGUCGCAGCGUCUCGCUCGGUGCCGCGUGGGUGGGCGCGACCAGCCUCCCCCCACACGCACGGUAGACCUCGGAUCAGGUAGGGAUACCCGCUGAACUUAA
RNAcentral lists this unclassified non-coding RNA (264 nucleotides) under uncultured fungus. RNAcentral's name for it is "sequence contains ITS2". The stretch from base 1 to 52 matches the Rfam family "5.8S ribosomal RNA", at positions 103 to 154 of the family's 154-position model. Lineage: Eukaryota; Fungi. The record is from RNAcentral.